UACGUAGGUGGCGAGCGUUGUCCGGAUUUAUUGGGCGUAAAGCGCGCGCAGGCGGUCUUUUAAGUCUGAUGUGAAAUCUCGUGGCUCAACCACGAACGGUCAUUGGAAACUGGGAGACUUGAGUACAGAAGAGGAGAGUGGAAUUCCACGUGUAGCGGUGAAAUGCGUAGAGAUGUGGAGGAACACCAGUGGCGAAGGCGACUCUCUGGUCUGUAACUGACGCUGAGGCGCGAAAGCGUGGGGAGCGAACAGG
RNAcentral lists this ribosomal RNA (253 nucleotides) under uncultured bacterium. Its description in RNAcentral is "partial 16S ribosomal RNA". It matches the Rfam family "Bacterial small subunit ribosomal RNA", at positions 524 to 776 of the family's 1533-position model. The record is from RNAcentral.